UGCAAUUUUGUUUUUUGGAUUCGUAACGGUCACAAAGAGAAGAAGAGAGGCUCCUAAAUAUUUUGUUGUAUUUACGCUUUUACCCUUCUUAACGGUCUUAUUUUAUUCACCGUUGACCAAACCGGUUAAAGAGAGAAUUUGCAUAUUGGUUUAUUCAUCCUCCUUCGCUUAUUAGACAAUCAGUAGUAAACAAAUUCACCGACUAAACCAAAAAUUCCACUAAAUACAAAUUUGGUUUAACUUUUGAACUUACAAAGCAUCAAACAGUUUGGAGAAAGCAGAUGCUUGUGUGGAUGUGU
Molecule: long non-coding RNA, 299 nt
Organism: Arabidopsis thaliana (thale cress)
Lineage: Eukaryota; Viridiplantae; Streptophyta; Magnoliopsida; Brassicales; Brassicaceae
Product: other RNA
Exons: 1
Source: RefSeq